AACGCUGGCUGUGUGCCUAAUACAUGCAAGUCGAGCGAAGUACUUUUGUACUUAGCGGCGAAUGGGUGAGUAACACGUACUCAACGUACCCUUCAGUUUGGAAUAGCAGUUGGAAACAACUGAUAAUACCAAAUACUUAUUUUGGYCGCAUGACCGAAAUAUAAAAGGUGCCUUAAAGCAUCGCUGGAGGAGCGGGGUGCGCAACAUUAGCUAGUUGGUGAGGUAACGGCCCACCAAGGCGAUGAUGUUUAGCGGGGUUGAGAGACUGAACCGCCACACUGGGACUGAGAUACGGCCCAGACUCCUACGGGAGGCAGCAGUAGGGAAUAUUCCACAAUGGACGAAAGUCUGAUGGAGCGACACAGCGUGCAGGAUGAAGGCCUCAUGGGUUGUAAACUGCUGUGGUAAGGGAAUAAAAAACAGUGUAGGAAAUGCCACUGUAUUGAAUGUACCUUAUUAGAAAGCAACGGCUAACUAUGUGCCAGCAGCCGCGGUAAUACAUAGGUUGCAAGCGUUAUCCGGAAUUAUUGGGCGUAAAGCGUCUGUAGGUUGUUUAUUAAGUCUGGCGUUAAAUUUUGGGGCUCAACUCCAAACCGCGUUGGAUACUGGUAAACUAGAGUUAUGUAGAGGUUAGCGGAAUUCCUUGUGAAGCGGUGAAAUGCGUAGAUAUAAGGAAGAACACCAACAUGGCGAAGGCAGCUAACUGGACAUACACUGACACUGAGAGACGAAAGCGUGGGGAGCAAACAGGAUUAGAUACCCUGGUAGUCCACGCCCUAAACGAUGAUCAUUAGCUGAUGGGGAACUCAUCGGCGCAGCUAACGCAUUAAAUGAUCCGCCUGAGUAGUACGUUCGCAAGAAUAAAACUUAAAGGAAUUGACGGGGACCCGCACAAGCGGUGGAGCAUGUGGUUUAAUUUGAAGAUACGCGUAGAACCUUACCCACUCUUGACAUCUUCCGCAAAGCUAUAGAGAUAUAGUGGAGGUUAACGGAAUGACAGAUGGUGCAUGGUUGUCGUCAGCUCGUGUCGUGAGAUGUUCGGUUAAGUCCUGCAACGAGCGCAACCCCUGUUCUUAGUUACUAACAUUUAGUUGAGCACUCUAAGAAGACUGCCCGAGUAAUCGGGAGGAAGGUGGGGAUGACGUCAAAUCAUCAUGCCUCUUACGAGUGGGGCAACACACGUGCUACAAUGGCCGGUACAAAGUGAAGCAACCUGGUGACAGUGAGCAAACCACAAAAAACCGGUCUCAGUUCGGAUUGGAGUCUGCAACUCGACUCCAUGAAGUCGGAAUCGCUAGUAAUCGUAGAUCAGCUACGCUACGGUGAAUACGUUCUCGGGUCUUGUACACACCGCCCGUCAAACCAUGGGAGCUGGUAAUGCCCGAAGUCGGUUUAUUAACAAACUGCCUAAGGCAGGACUGGUGACUGGGGUUAAGUCGUAACAAGGUAUCCCUACGAGAACGUGGGGAUGGAUUACCUCCUUUCU
RNAcentral lists this ribosomal RNA (1486 nucleotides) under Mycoplasmopsis phocirhinis. RNAcentral's name for it is "Mycoplasma phocirhinis 16S ribosomal RNA". It matches the Rfam family "Bacterial small subunit ribosomal RNA". The record is from RNAcentral. Lineage: Bacteria; Bacillati; Mycoplasmatota; Mycoplasmoidales; Metamycoplasmataceae.